Molecule: ribosomal RNA, 253 nt
Filed under: uncultured prokaryote
Description: partial 16S ribosomal RNA
Rfam family: Bacterial small subunit ribosomal RNA
Source: RNAcentral
UACGGAGGAUCCAAGCGUUAUCCGGAAUCAUUGGGUUUAAAGGGUCCGUAGGCGGGAUGGCAAGUCGGUCGUGAAAUCCUUCGGCUCAACCGAAGAACGUCGGCCGAUACUGCCGUUCUUGAGGGAUGCAGAGGAGAUUGGAAUUCCCGGUGUAGCGGUGAAAUGUGUAGAGAUCGGGAGGAACACCGGUGGCGAAGGCGGGUCUCUGGGCAUCUCCUGACGCUGAGGCGCGAAAGCGUGGGGAGCAAACGGG